This 82-nucleotide transfer RNA is filed under the name Colletotrichum zoysiae. Its description in RNAcentral is "tRNA-Thr". It matches the Rfam family "tRNA". From Rfam's summary of the family: Transfer RNA (tRNA) molecules are approximately 80 nucleotides in length. Their secondary structure includes four short double-helical elements and three loops (D, anti-codon, and T loops). Lineage: Eukaryota; Fungi; Ascomycota; Sordariomycetes; Glomerellales; Glomerellaceae. The record is from RNAcentral.
GCCUUGUUGGCUAAGUGGUAUAGCGUCUCACUAGUAGCCUAGUGGUAUGAGAAGAUCGGCGGUUCGAUUCCGCCACGAGGCA